GAUGAACGCUGACAGAAUGCUUAACACAUGCAAGUCGAUUCAAGUUACCUUCGGGUAAUGAGGAUGGCGGACGGGUGAGUAACGCGCAAGGAACUUGCCUCUUGGUCUGGGACAACUGUUGGAAACGACAGCUAAUACCGGAUAUUAUGAGAUUCUCGCAUGGGAAACUUAUGAAAGCUAUAUGCGCCAAGAGAGAGCCUUGCGUUCCAUUAGCUAGUUGGUGGGGUAACGGCCCACCAAGGCGACGAUGGAUAGCCGGCCUGAGAGGGUGAACGGCCACAAGGGGACUGAGACACGGCCCUUACUCCUACGGGAGGCAGCAGUGGGGAAUAUUGGACAAUGGGCCACAAGCCUGAUCCAGCAAUUCUGUGUGCACGAUGAAGGUCUUCGGAUUGUAAAGUGCUUUCAGUUGGGAAGAAGAAAGUGACGGUACCAACAGAAGAAGCGACGGCUAAAUACGUGCCAGCAGCCGCGGUAAUACGUAUGUCGCAAGCGUUAUCCGGAUUUAUUGGGCGUAAAGCGCGUCUAGGCGGAAAAAUAAGUCUGAUGUUAAAAUGCGGGGCUCAACUCCGUAUUGCGUUGGAAACUGUUUUUCUAGAGUACUGGAGAGGUGGGCGGAACUACAAGUGUAGAGGUGAAAUUCGUAGAUAUUUGUAGGAAUGCCGAUGGAGAAGUCAGCUCACUGGACAGANNCUGACGCUGAAGCGCGAAAGCGUGGGGAGCAAACAGGAUUAGAUACCCUGGUAGUCCACGCCNUA
RNAcentral lists this ribosomal RNA (758 nucleotides) under uncultured prokaryote. Its description in RNAcentral is "bacterial SSU rRNA". It matches the Rfam family "Bacterial small subunit ribosomal RNA", at positions 28 to 804 of the family's 1533-position model. The record is from RNAcentral.